Molecule: transfer RNA, 69 nt
Filed under: Rattus norvegicus (Norway rat)
Lineage: Eukaryota; Metazoa; Chordata; Mammalia; Rodentia; Muridae
Rfam family: tRNA
About the family: Transfer RNA (tRNA) molecules are approximately 80 nucleotides in length. Their secondary structure includes four short double-helical elements and three loops (D, anti-codon, and T loops).
Source: Rfam by way of RNAcentral
GGGGAUUUGGCUCAGUGGUAGAGCGCUUGCCUAGGAAGCGCAAGGUCCUGGGUUCGGUCCCCAGCUCCA